CUCUCUCCUCAUGUAUCACCUUUUAUUAUCAUUUAUUUGAUUUCAUCUCCCGAUGGGUCUACAUUCAUCCCUGAAUGUCGUCGGGUACUGUUCACUUCCCCGCCAUUCUUGUAACCGUCACUUGUAAUCCGCGCAGGUGUGUCCGCCCUCGCCUACCAAAACAAAAAAAGAUGUUGCUAAUUGGCACUAAUGGUAAUGUGGACCAUCGAUCAAGAAGGACUUCGGAGACUGCAAUCGAUUUGAGAAAAAAAAUAGGGUCAACUCUUCUAGUUCUGCCGUUGGAUGACUUCCACUUUAUAUUGAGUUUGGAAUUCUUGUGGAAGAUAAGAGUUUACGUUUCACCUCUUUAGUUGGCUUUGAAAGGAAGAGAUAGAUACUGUACAGAGAGGAGAGUUCAGGAGGCUUCUUCCAUGGGAUCAAGAAUUUAACAUAUGGGGUGGAUAUUGAUCGAAUGAGAUUGAUGGGCAUACUGCAGAGAAUAGCAAUAGCAUAUUUAGUAGCAGCAUUGUGCGAGAUUUGGCUCAAGGGAGAUGAUCAUGCAAUAUCACAGUUAGCUCUGUUAAGAAAGUAUCAAUUUCAGUGUUUGCUUGUGUGAAACUUGCUUAUAGGUACGGGGAGAGCAUAGUCACCAGCAACAAAGGGCAUGGGCACAAGUAUGGGAUGCAUCUGAUGUUAAGGCAGAUAAGGACCACUGUUGCAUGCGUGGCAAGGAGAGGAAGAUUGUUGGUGUGCUUCUCGAUUUUUGGGUUGCUCAUGAGUCAUUGUUGGGACUAUUACUGGGCAUUAAAUGCCCCAAAUUUGUAUUGGAUUUCUUUUCUUUUUUAAUGCAUAUAUGG
Hibiscus syriacus is the source of this 836-nucleotide long non-coding RNA. RefSeq lists it as uncharacterized. The record is from RefSeq and is a predicted model, not a curated record. NCBI's taxonomy places the organism in Eukaryota, Viridiplantae, Streptophyta, Magnoliopsida, Malvales, Malvaceae. The transcript has 4 exons.